Molecule: ribosomal RNA, 253 nt
Filed under: uncultured bacterium
Lineage: Bacteria
Description: partial 16S ribosomal RNA
Rfam family: Bacterial small subunit ribosomal RNA
Source: RNAcentral
UACAGAGGGUGCGAGCGUUAAUCGGAAUUACUGGGCGUAAAGCGUGCGCAGGCGGUUUUGUAAGUCUGACGUGAAAUCCCCGGGCUUAACCUGGGAAUUGCGUUGGAGACUGCAAGGCUGGAGUCUGGCAGAGGGGGGUAGAAUUCCACGUGUAGCAGUGAAAUGCGUAGAGAUGUGGAGGAACACCGAUGGCGAAGGCAGCCCCCUGGGUCAAGACUGACGCUCACGCACGAAAGCGUGGGGAGCAAACAGG